AGGGCACCACCAGGAGUGGAGCCUGCGGCUUAAUUUGACUCAACACGGGAAAACUCACCCGGCCCGGACACUGAAAGGAUUGACAGAUUGAGAGCUCUUUCUUGAUUCAGUGGGUGGUGGUGCAUGGCCGUUCUUAGUUGGUGGAGCGAUUUGUCUGGUUAAUUCCGAUAACGAACGAGACUCUAGCCUACUAAAUAGAUCGCCGGUUUACAAACACCGGUGAGACUUCUUAGAGGGACAGGCGGCGAUUCAGCCGCACGAAACAGAGCAAUAACAGGUCUGUGAUGCCCUUAGAUGUCCGGGGCCACACGCGCGCUACACUGAAGUGAUCAGCGUGCAUUUUAAGCCUACUCUGCCAAGAGUGGGAAACCCAAUGAACCUUCUUCGUGAUUGGGAUAGGGGAUUGUAAUUAUUCCCCUUGAACGAGGAAUUCCCAGUAAGCGCGAGUCAUAAGCUCGCGUUGAUUACGUCCCUGCCCUUUGUACACACCGCCCGUCGCUACUACCGAUUGAAUGUUUU
RNAcentral lists this ribosomal RNA (519 nucleotides) under uncultured eukaryote. RNAcentral describes it as "SSU rRNA". It matches the Rfam family "Eukaryotic small subunit ribosomal RNA", at positions 1161 to 1699 of the family's 1831-position model. The record is from RNAcentral.